CCUACGGGAGGCAGCAGUGAGGAAUAUUGGUCAAUGGACGAGAGUCUGAACCAGCCAAGUAGCGUGAAGGAUGACGGCCCUAUGGGUUGUAAACUUCUUUUAUAUGGGAAUAAAAUGUGCCACGUGUGGGAUUUUGUAUGUACCAUAUGAAUAAGGAUCGGCUAACUCCGUGCCAGCAGCCGCGGUAAUACGGAGGAUACGAGCGUUAUCCGGCUUUAUUGGGGUUAAAGGGAGCGUAGGGGGAUUGUUAAGUCAGUUGUGAAAGUUUGCGGCUCAACCGUAAAAUUGCAGUUGAAACUGGCAGUCUUGAGUACAGUAGCGGUGGGCUGACUUCGUGGUGUAGCGG
RNAcentral lists this ribosomal RNA (346 nucleotides) under uncultured bacterium. RNAcentral describes it as "partial 16S ribosomal RNA". It matches the Rfam family "Bacterial small subunit ribosomal RNA", at positions 338 to 681 of the family's 1533-position model. The record is from RNAcentral.